GAUGAACGCUGGCGGCGUGCCUAAUACAUGCAAGUCGAGCGAACGGACGAGAAGCUUGCUUCUCUGAUGUUAGCGGCGGACGGGUGAGUAACACGUGGAUAACCUACCUAUAAGACUGGGAUAACUUCGGGAAACCGGAGCUAAUACCGGAUAAUAUUUUGAACCGCAUGGUUCAAAAGUGAAAGACGGUCUUGCUGUCACUUAUAGAUGGAUCCGCGCUGCAUUAGCUAGUUGGUAAGGUAACGGCUUACCAAGGCAACGAUGCAUAGCCGACCUGAGAGGGUGAUCGGCCACACUGGAACUGAGACACGGUCCAGACCCCUACGGGAGGCAGCAGUAGGGAAUCUUCCGCAAUGGGCGAAAGCCUGACGGAGCAACGCCGCGUGAGUGAUGAAGGUCUUCGGAUCGUAAAACUCUGUUAUUAGGGAAGAACAUAUGUGUAAGUAACUAUGCACAUCUUGACGGUACCUAAUCAGAAAGCCACGGCUAACUACGUG
RNAcentral lists this ribosomal RNA (497 nucleotides) under uncultured bacterium. Its description in RNAcentral is "partial 16S ribosomal RNA". It matches the Rfam family "Bacterial small subunit ribosomal RNA", at positions 28 to 507 of the family's 1533-position model. The record is from RNAcentral.